AAACCAUACAAUUUCUUUCUCCCGCUGUAUUUCCUUAUGUUCCUAGGACAUUUUGCUACAGAGUUGCCUACCAGUUUAUGCACCAAAUUGUAAAUGAUUUGAAAAACAAAUUGCAACCUCAAACCAAAAUAGGUGAUUUAGAACAAUUCCAUAACAUUAUGACUUUCAGCCUAAAUUUGCCUUGCCUCUGCUGCAGUAAUAACUGUCAAAAUUGAAUGAAAUCCAAUACAUAUGGCCAUUUUAAUAAUGAGGCAGGACUAAUAAGUGAAUCUAUUCAAAGUAAUUUUUCUUAAAGGACCACUCUAGGCACCUAGACCACUUUAGCUUAAUGAAGUGGUCUGGGUGCCAGGUCCAGCUAGGGUUAACCCAUUUUUUUUUUAUA
Non-coding RNA from Pelobates cultripes (western spadefoot toad), 382 nucleotides. The record is from the annotation of a GenBank genome assembly. NCBI's taxonomy places the organism in Eukaryota, Metazoa, Chordata, Amphibia, Anura, Pelobatidae.